RNAcentral lists this ribosomal RNA (253 nucleotides) under uncultured bacterium. RNAcentral's name for it is "partial 16S ribosomal RNA". It matches the Rfam family "Bacterial small subunit ribosomal RNA", at positions 524 to 776 of the family's 1533-position model. The record is from RNAcentral.
GACGUAGGGGGCAAGCGUUGUCCGGAAUCAUUGGGCGUAAAGCGCGUGUAGGCGGCUUGAUAAGUCCGGUGUGAAACCUUGGGGCUCAACCCCAAGCCUGCACCGGAUACUGUCUCGCUUGAGUUCGGGAGGGGAGAGCGGAAUUCCUAGUGUAGCGGUGUAAUGCGCAGAUAUUAGGAAGAACACCAAUGGCGAAGGCAGCUCUCUGGAACGAUACUGACGCUGAGACGCGAAAGCGUGGGGAGCGAACAGG